Long non-coding RNA from Oncorhynchus tshawytscha (Chinook salmon), 444 nucleotides. RefSeq lists it as uncharacterized. The record is from RefSeq and is a predicted model, not a curated record. NCBI's taxonomy places the organism in Eukaryota, Metazoa, Chordata, Actinopteri, Salmoniformes, Salmonidae. The transcript has 3 exons.
AUAGAAAUAGAACACAGAACAGAGCUACCGCUUCCAAAGUCCCGUUUCCACUGGCACUUGAAAUUUGGGGCAGAUUCGACCUGGGUCGAGGGAAACAGGGGCCAGAGCAGCCCAGUUUCACAACUGGCGCCAGCUCAAUUCGAAUUCGGGUUGGUGACGCCAAUUACUAUGCAACCACCAAGUGGAUCACUGCUGGAUGCGGGUUGAUACCCUAUUUCAUGGACCCAAGAUCCAUAGGUAAGGCUGUAGGCUACAUUGCAAUAUGAGUGACCAAUACGCACAAUAGACUGACUGGGGGGCGCUAAUAUUUGUGUGAACUCUUCACAGUUGUGUUCUGUGGGUGUCACUGAGUAGGCUGAUACCCCAUUACAUGGACCCAAGAUGAUCAUCCAUAGGACCUGAGUCCUAGGACCAAGCCUCAGGACUACCUGGCCUGAUGACUCC